Long non-coding RNA from Scylla paramamosain (green mud crab), 1593 nucleotides. RefSeq lists it as uncharacterized. Lineage: Eukaryota; Metazoa; Arthropoda; Malacostraca; Decapoda; Portunidae. The transcript is spliced from 6 exons. The record is from RefSeq and is a predicted model, not a curated record.
CCGCAUUUUCGUCAAGCAACACAAAAUUGAACACAACUCAACACAAGCCACGAAAACACUUCUAAAGCAAAUAAUUAUUUUUAUAAACCAUAAAAAACAUGCUAUACCACCAGAAUAAAGAAGUUAAGAAAAAAAUAAAAAAAUAUUGGAACCCGCAGGUUGAGGCAGGUUGGCAGAGGUAGCCAGGCAUCAUGGCGGCCCUUGUCAGUGGAGAGAACGGCCGCUAUUUUGCCUGUUAUUCUUCCAUCGUAACUAAAUGAGGCAAUGGCGGAUAUAUCUAGCUAGCGGAUAUGAAAGCCUAGUCAUGUGGCUCCACUUAGUGACGUGUUAGGCUUACAAUAAGUGACAAAUGAAGCAGAUAUUGGCGGAUAAAUGGGGAAGGCUGCCUCCACCUCAGCUGGUAACAUUAGAUAGUAAUUGACGAACACAACACACCACGUGGAGAGAAGCAAGGUGUGGAGUACCCAAGCCUCUCACAGUCCAUGCUAGUAGACUCACCCUGCAUGUGGAGAUCUCCCAAAAUGCACGGAGGUUAUUCCAGAGCUGCAGGACAGAGUACUUGAGGCCAUUGGUGAACAGAAAGCUGAGGUUGAACAAAGCCAAGAAUUGAUAGCUGCCCAAGGUGUAAGCAAGAUUCACAAUGAUGAGGUCAUUGUGACGUGUGCAAUGUGUCCACUGGUCUUGGCCUUCCUGACCAAGGCAGCCACACAAAGGAAAUUCCACGUUAUUGUUGCCGAACGUGCCCCUAAAUAUUAUGAUGUAAGGGUCACCCAGUGGCAAAAGCUUUAUGUACUGCUGGAAUUGAGACAACAUUAAUUCAAGACUCUGCAGUGUUCCCCAUCAUGUCACGUGUCAACAAGGUCAUCAAAGGUCAUCGUUGGCACCGAGACGGUGGUGACCAACGGAGGCAUUGAGACCUUUGUUGGUGCAGCCUCUCUUGCCUCACCACCAAAGUUUUAUUCUGUUCCACUGUAUGUGUGCACUCCCACAUACAAAUUUAGCUUGAUGGGCUGUGAAGAAACAAGCCACCAAACCACCACUUCUAUUAUCCCAGAGGGAACAAAGUUUUGGCCGUCUGUAAAUACUGCGCUGACUCAGCUAGAUUACGUUCCUCCAGAAAAUGUCACCAGUUUGAUAACUAACAAUCGAGGUACUGCACCAUCCUACGUGUACCGGCAGCUUAGCGAACUGUACCGUCCCACUUCUUGUGUAACAAGAAGGUAACAGCUUUAAUCCUUGCAAAUAAGGAAUAAGAGAAAAGAGACACACCUGCCAUUUGUACUGUUAUGCUGUAGUGUUCUGUCCUUUUUUUCCUCUUUUAUCCUAGAACCAUUUUUGGUCAUUCAUGUUUCUAAAAAUUAUUAUACAAAAAUGUUGAGCUUAAUAUGUUUGGUGUAGUUUUUUGUAACAUGUGUUAUUAUUGUUAAUGUGUGUGGUUCCCCUCAGGAAGAAUGUUGCAGUAUUAGCAGUAAUGUUACAGCCAAUGGAAGUGUCUGUAUUGUGCUUUGGUGGGAGGUUAAUUUGAUGUAUUUUUAGAGUUGUGCAGGAUAUUAUAGCAAGCCCUCAAAAUAAAGAAAAUAACUAUAGAAAACA